This 442-nucleotide ribosomal RNA is filed under the name uncultured bacterium. RNAcentral's name for it is "partial 16S ribosomal RNA". It matches the Rfam family "Bacterial small subunit ribosomal RNA", at positions 338 to 795 of the family's 1533-position model. The record is from RNAcentral.
CCUACGGGAGGCAGCAGUAGGGAAUCUUUCACAAUGGGCGAAAGCCUGAUGGAGCAACGCCGCGUGCAGGAUGAAGGCCCUCGGGUUGUAAACUGCUUUUAUAAGCGAGAAAUAUGAUGGUAACUUAUGAAUAAGGAUCGGCUAACUACGUGCCAGCAGCCGCGGUCAUACGUAGGAUCCGAGCAUUAUCCGGAGUGACUGGGUGUAAAGAGUUGCGUAGGUGGCAUAAUAAGUAGCUAGUGAAAUCUGGUGGCUCAACCAUUCAGACUAUUAGCUAAACUGUUAAGCUCGAGACCGUUAGGGGUAACGGGAAUUUCUAGUGUAGGAGUGAAAUCCGUAGAUAUUAGGAGGAACACCAAUAGCGUAGGCAGGUUGCUGGGACGGUUCUGACACUAAGGCACGAAAGCGUAGGGAGCAAACGGGAUUAGAUACCCCAGUAGUC